This 484-nucleotide ribosomal RNA is filed under the name uncultured bacterium. RNAcentral's name for it is "partial 16S ribosomal RNA". It matches the Rfam family "Bacterial small subunit ribosomal RNA", at positions 30 to 507 of the family's 1533-position model. The record is from RNAcentral.
AUUGAACGCUGGCGGCAGGCCUAACACAUGCAAGUCGAGCGGAUGAAGGGAGCUUGCUCCUGGAUUCAGCGGCGGACGGGUGAGUAAUUCCUAGGAAUCUGCCUGGUAGUGGGGGAUAACGUCCGGAAACGGGCGCUAAUACCGCAUACGUCCUGAGGGAGAAAGUGGGGGAUCUUCGGACCUCACGCUAAUAGAUGAGCCUAGGUCGGAUUAGCCAGUUGGUGGGGUAAAGGCCUACCAAGGCGACGAUCCGUAACUGGUCUGAGAGGAUGAUCAGUCACAUGGGAACUGGGAAACGGUCCAGACUCCUACGGGAGGCAGCAGUGGGGAAUAUUGGACAAUGGGCGAAAGCCUGAUCCAGCCAUGCCGCGUGUGUGAAGAAGGUCUUCGGAUUGUAAAGCACUUUAAGUUGGGAGGAAGGGCAGUAAGUUAAUACCUUGCUGUUUUGACGUUACCAACAGAAUAAGCACCGGCUAACUUCGUG